RNAcentral lists this ribosomal RNA (253 nucleotides) under uncultured bacterium. RNAcentral's name for it is "partial 16S ribosomal RNA". It matches the Rfam family "Bacterial small subunit ribosomal RNA", at positions 524 to 776 of the family's 1533-position model. The record is from RNAcentral.
UACGGAGGGUGCAAGCGUUAUCCGGAUUUAUUGGGUUUAAAGGGUCCGCAGGCGGGCCUGUAAGUCAGGGGUGAAAGCCGGCAGCUUAACUGUCGAACUGCCUUUGAAACUGCAGGUCUUGAGUAAGAAUGAAGCAGCUGGAAUGUGUGGUGUAGCGGUGAAAUGCAUAGAUAUCACACGGAACACCGAUAGCGAAGGCAGGUUGCUAAUUCUUUACUGACGCUGAGGGACGAAAGCGUGGGGAGCGAACAGG